This 484-nucleotide ribosomal RNA is filed under the name uncultured bacterium. RNAcentral's name for it is "partial 16S ribosomal RNA". It matches the Rfam family "Bacterial small subunit ribosomal RNA", at positions 30 to 507 of the family's 1533-position model. The record is from RNAcentral.
AUUGAACGCUGGCGGCAUGCCUUACACAUGCAAGUCGAACGGCAGCGCGGGAGCAAUCCUGGCGGCGAGUGGCGAACGGGUGAGUAAUACAUCGGAACGUGCCCAAUCGUGGGGGAUAACGCAGCGAAAGCUGUGCUAAUACCGCAUACGAUCUACGGAUGAAAGCAGGGGAUCGCAAGACCUUGCGCGAAUGGAGCGGCCGAUGGCCGAUUAGGUAGUUGGUGAGGUAAAGGCUCACCAAGCCUUCGAUCUGUAGCUGGUCUGAGAGGACGACCAGCCACACUGGGACUGAGACACGGCCCAGACUCCUACGGGAGGCAGCAGUGGGGAAUUUUGGACAAUGGGCGAAAGCCUGAUCCAGCCAUGCCGCGUGCAGGAUGAAGGCCUUCGGGUUGUAAACUGCUUUUGUACGGAACGAAACGGUCUUUUCUAAUAAAGAAGGCUAAUGACGGUACCGUAAGAAUAAGCACCGGCUAACUACGUG